Molecule: ribosomal RNA, 206 nt
Filed under: uncultured bacterium
Lineage: Bacteria
Description: partial 16S ribosomal RNA
Rfam family: Bacterial small subunit ribosomal RNA
Source: RNAcentral
CACGUAGGCGGACAUUUAAGUCAGGGGUGAAAUCCCAGAGCUCAACUCUGGAACUGCCUUUGAUACUGGGUGUCUUGAGUAUGGAAGAGGUGAGUGGAAUUCCGAGUGUAGAGGUGAAAUUCGUAGAUAUUCGGAGGAACACCAGUGGCGAAGGCGGCUCACUGGUCCAUUACUGACGCUGAGGUGCGAAAGCGUGGGAGCAAACA